UCCACGCCCUAAACGAUGCACACUAGUUGUUGCGAUGCUCGUCAUUGCAGUAAUACAGUUAACACAUUAAGUGUGCCGCCUGGGGAGUACGGUCGCAAGAUUAAAACCUCAAAGGAAUAGACGGGGACCCGCACAAGUGGUGGAGCAUGUGGUUUAAUUCGAAGAUACGCGAAGAACCUUACCUAGCCUUGACAUUGAUAGAACCACAGUAGAGAUACAGUGGUGCCC
RNAcentral lists this ribosomal RNA (228 nucleotides) under uncultured bacterium. Its description in RNAcentral is "partial 16S ribosomal RNA". It matches the Rfam family "Bacterial small subunit ribosomal RNA", at positions 794 to 1019 of the family's 1533-position model. The record is from RNAcentral.